This 301-nucleotide ribosomal RNA is filed under the name uncultured bacterium. Its description in RNAcentral is "partial 16S ribosomal RNA". It matches the Rfam family "Bacterial small subunit ribosomal RNA", at positions 509 to 807 of the family's 1533-position model. The record is from RNAcentral.
CAGCCGCCACGGGAAUACGAAGGGGGCUAGCGUUGUUCGGAUUUACUGGGCGUAAAGGGCGCGUAGGCGGACUGAUAAGUCAGGGGUGAAAUCCCAAGGCUCAACCUUGGAACUGCCUUUGAUACUGUUUGUCUUGAGUUCGAGAGAGGUAAGUGGAACUGCGAGUGUAGAGGUGAAAUUCGUAGAUAUUCGCAAGAACACCAGUGGCGAAGGCGGCUUACUGGCUCGAAACUGACGCUGAGGCGCGAAAGCGUGGGGAGCAAACAGGAUUAGAUACCCGUGUAGUCCCUGUCUCUUAUAC